Tympanuchus pallidicinctus (lesser prairie-chicken) is the source of this 3357-nucleotide RNA transcript. It is a transcript of the gene named serine/arginine repetitive matrix protein 1-like, with no coding region annotated. NCBI's taxonomy places the organism in Eukaryota, Metazoa, Chordata, Aves, Galliformes, Phasianidae. The transcript is spliced from 5 exons. The record is from RefSeq and is a predicted model, not a curated record.
AAUGAAGUGCCUGGUGGGUACAUUUCUGUCUGCUCAGCAGGAGACGCGGGAAACUGGCGUUCUACAAAGAUAUGUGGAAAAUGCUGCUGUCUUUGGAGAAGUAACACCUGCUGAGGAUGUCAUCCUCCUGGCAAGAGCAGACAUUUACAGUCCCACUUUGCUACCUUCUUUCUCUAGAGAUGGAUGGAGAGCCUGUGGACGAGGCCGUGCUUCAGGAGGGCAGCAGCCACACACUGCCCAUCUCCCGUGAAGGCACAGAGGACGUGCCAGCAGCUGGCGCUCCAGGUAGAGGCCUGCCCAGAGCUCUGUGGCUGACGCUUGGAGGUUCUGUUGUUGUGUUUUGUGUCUGUGGCCUCCUGGAGCAUUUCAUGGCAAUGUCAGAGCUCUGCUGAGAUCGCCAGGUAGGCAGGAGGCGCAGCAGUGACCACAAUUGUUCCUUCAGGUGCAGGAGGUGAAGAAGCCACCAAGGGCAUCUACAUUAAGGACGUCCCCAUGUUCUGCUUGAAAGGUGCUAUUGGUGUGUUUGUUCCCAUUCUCCUGCUAAUAAUUGUCUGCUGCAUUUGCAUCCGGCGGCGGCGGAAGAAACAACAGUGAGUUGCUCCCCCAUCCCCAUCCCAGCUCUUUAUUCCCGCUGCUCUGUGCGGUGCCGGGAGGAAGGAGAGCGGGGGGCUCCCCGUGCCCUCAGCAGUUCCUGUGUGCUGUCCACGAAUGCUGAGCACAUGAGGAUAGACAGACAGACAGACAGACACAGCUGAGAGAGGAUGGACGGUCUCAGCACCAGCGGGCUCCAUGUGGGCUAGGUGCUGCGGAGCCCCAGCACAUCACUGCUGCCCAGGCCCAAGACUGGCUGGGGGGAUUUGGGACUGCAUGAAUGACUGCAGGCAGAGAUGUAGCAAAGUGAAUACAAAACAUUGAGUGAUGUGAUGUUAUUUAAUGUAAUUGAAGAUGGAAUAACAUAAAAUAUCAUAACGUAAUGAGAUCUAAUAGAGUCCCAUGUUGUCCCAGUCCAAGGUGGUGGUGGUGGACAGCCCAGGUUUGGAGAGGUAGGGCUGGGGCCGGUGCUGGUGCCCCUGGAGCACUGCUGCUGCUGCUCUGUGUGCCACGGGGCCGGCGAGGAGCCCAGAGCUACAGGUAGCCUGAACUGUUGGCCGUUGGUUGCCUCCUGCUGCAGCACAUGGGCCGGUUUCCGCAGACGCUCCCGUUUGUGCCGAGCCCACCCAGCUUCGCCUAGCGCCGGCGUUUCUGCCCUGGAGCGUCCUGGCCAUGCGGCAGCUUCCUCUUCUUGGCUGGGCCGCUGCCAGUGCGCCGCUGGUGCCCGCUGGUGGUGCAGGCGGGCGCCGGGCUCUCGGCCAGCUCGGUGCCACCCUGGUAGUGGUUGCCUGGCACAUGGCAGGACGUGCAGCCGGGUGGCAGUGCCAGGCGGGUGAGAAGCACCCGGGGUUGCUUCUGCUGCGCCUCCUCCAUCAGAUGUGCUGUGCUGGGUGAAGGAGGUGCUGGGACAUCCGGGGGGGUCGGCACAGGCAGCUCUGGUGAUGUGCUGCAGGGCAGUAGGAAAGGCAGGCAGAGCAGCGGCCCGGGGGACUGCCUGCAGCACGAUGGAUGUGUGCACAACAGGUCGCUCCUGAUCCAGGCCUCUGCCUCUGCCUCUCCGUUUCGCUCCGUGCUGCUGGCCCAGGGAAAGUCAGGGAGCGCUGUGAUGAACGGUGGUGUUUUUCUGCUGCUCGGGACCUCUGGGCUCGGUGGCUGUGUGGCAUCGAUCCACCGCAGCAGCUCUUCCCUUUCCUGGCUGUCCAGUUCAGGCAGCAGCUCAUCGUGACCUCCUUCCUCUGCUGCAGUGUCAGUUCCUUCGGUCCCCCUUGUUUGGGUAUCAGCAGGGUCCUGGUUCUGCUGGGGGACCUCCUGAGGACUCGCCACUUCAGAAAAAGCAAGAACAUCCCCAGAAGGAUGAGGACAGCCUUUCCACAGGCACUCAGUGCAGACACCCCCCCGCCAGCUCUGCAGCCCCCACACUCACUGGUGUUCAGCCACGUGAGCAGGUCAUCCAUGUCCGGGAUGUUGUCCAGGAUCUCUGUGUUGGAUGCCGCUUCUGGAAAGGGAAGAAAAUCCCCGCAGGGGUAACGCCAGCUUUCCUACACCCACUGAGUGCAGACAACCCCCGCCAGCUCUGCUGCCCCCAAACUCACCGUUGUUCAUCCAAGUCAGGAGCUCAUCCAUGUCCGGCAUGUCAUCCAGGAUGUCAUCCGGGACCUCUGUUUCGGGUGCCACUUCUGGAAGAGGAAGAAAACCACCACGGGGGUCAGGGGGUCAUUGAUGUCAGUGAUGUCCUCCUGGAUGUCUGAGCUCGUUGUCGCUGCUGAAAAGCAAGAACACCCCCAGUGAGGCAGCGCCAUCUUUCCCACCGCCACCCGGUGCGGACAGCCUGCCACCCGCUCUGCAGCCCCAAACUCACCACCUGAUUCCAGCGCUGCGCUGCUGCAGAUGACUACGCUGAUUCUUUUCAUGCGGUUGCCUGGUCGGACUCGGCUUUUGUUCCUGAGGUGGAACCUGGAGAUGUGAGUGGAAGUGAAUGGGGUGCAGAAUCCCAGCCGGCUCCGGGGUCGGAAGCUCUAGCAGAUGGCAUGGGUAUGUGAUGGCUUUUUAAUUGCUUUGCGAGCUGCCAGCUCGCAGCCCUAAUGUCAGCCAGGCCUGCAGGAGCGGGAGCACAGAGCUGCACGCGCGCGCCCUGUCCCUGCACCAUCCCCGGGUACCACCUGCUCCUCAGCUGUGCCGUCACGCAGUGACACAGCUUGUGGUGCACGACGGAAAGCUCUCGUGGUUCCUUGUUGCAGAACUGCCUCCAGAGAGGGCCGUGCCAAACGCGCAGCUGCCUCCCGCGCAGGAGCCCCGCUGGCCUCCCAGGGGUCCUGCGAGACAGACAGAGAAACCGGGACGAGGAAGAUAUUCGCCGCGGUUUGCUCCUGUCCUGAAGGCAGUGACGGGGGAGAAUGAAGUGCCUGGUGGGUACAUUUCUGUCUGCUCACCGGGAGACUCGGGAAACUGGCGUUCUACAAAGAUAUGAGCAGACAUUUACAGUCCCACUUUGCUGCCUUCUUUCUCUAGAGGUCGAUGGAGAGCCUGUGGACGAGGCCGUGCUUCAGGAGGGCAGCAGCCACACACUGCCCAUCUCCCGUGAAGGCACAGAGGACGUGCCAGCAGCUGGCGCUCCAGGUAGAGGCCUGCCCAGAGCUCUGUGGCUGACGCUUGAGGUUCUGUUGUUGUGUUUUGUGUCUGUGGCCUCCUGGAGCAUUUCAUGGCAAUGUCAGAGCUCUGCUGAGAUCGCCAGGUAGGCAGGAGGCGCAGCAGUGACCACAAUUGUUC